GAUGAACGCUGGCGGCGUGCCUAAUACAUGCAAGUCGAGCGAACGGACGAGAAGCUUGCUUCUCUGAUGUUAGCGGCGGACGGGUGAGUAACACGUGGAUAACCUACCUAUAAGACUGGGAUAACUUCGGGAAACCGGAGCUAAUACCGGAUAAUAUUUUGAACCGCAUGGUUCAAAAGUGAAAGACGGUCUUGCUGUCACUUAUAGAUGGACCCGCGCUGCAUUAGCUAGUUGGUAAGGUAACGGCUUACCAAGGCAACGAUGCAUAGCCGACCUGAGAGAGUGAUCGGCCACACUGAAACUGAGGCACGGUCCAGACUCCUCCGGGAGGCAGCAGUAGGGAAUCUUCCGAAAUGGGCGAAAGCCUGACGGAGCAACGCCGCGUGAGUGAUGAAGGUCUUCGGAUCGUAAACUCUGUUAUUAGGGAAGAACAUAUGUGUAAGUAACUGUGCACAUCUUGACGGUACCUAAUCAGAAAGCCACGGCUAACUACGUG
RNAcentral lists this ribosomal RNA (496 nucleotides) under uncultured bacterium. RNAcentral describes it as "partial 16S ribosomal RNA". It matches the Rfam family "Bacterial small subunit ribosomal RNA", at positions 28 to 507 of the family's 1533-position model. The record is from RNAcentral.